Lutra lutra (Eurasian river otter) is the source of this 905-nucleotide long non-coding RNA. RefSeq lists it as uncharacterized. The transcript has 2 exons. The record is from RefSeq and is a predicted model, not a curated record. Lineage: Eukaryota; Metazoa; Chordata; Mammalia; Carnivora; Mustelidae.
ACCUCUGUUUGUCCACGGGGCAACUGUGAGGGUCUCCUCCAGGAACAAAGGCUGUCAUGUCAGCGAACACAGCAGAGAGGCUGCUCAGACCUACCACGUGCUGGGCCUGGGAGGAGCAGGGCUCUGGGAACAGCCAGCGUCCAUCAGUUAAGAGUCAGAAGGCUGGGCAGCCCAGCCAGGAAUCCCUGAGCUAGAGAAUUUUAAAAUAGCUCUGCAUGAGGAGGUCAUCUGACCCUCCAGAUACUUAAGGUGCCCUCUUGACCUAUGUCACUUUCCCCCUCUUGCAUUCUCAAGCUCUUUGACUUCCCUACUCCUGCUUCUAUGUUGAGGGUCGUGGUCACCGAGAAAUGAAGGCCCUUUGCCGAGUGGGCCAAGCCUGCCUGUGCUGAGAAGAGCUUGAAGCCCCUUGGGUGCCCCAGCAGGGGCGGGGCCUGGAGGCUGCUGGACUGAGGCUGGCUCUCACCACUUCCAAGCAGGAGUUCUCUCUGCCAGGCAGCAUGACAGGAGGAGACAGCUGCAGCUCCCCCCUUGAGCUAUAAAAAGCCCCAGCAGCCGAGUGAGCAGAGGGCACGCCAAGCAGAUACACGGAACUUAGCUGGACUCCGGGGGAGCUCGGCUCCACUAUGAUGCUGAGGUUACCCUGUGCCCCCAGGCUCCUGCAGGCCUCUCUGAGGGGCUGGGUGGUUCCCAAGGCACAUGUCUCCACAAAGCCGGCCCGAACACCCACGUCUCCCACGGAGCAAGCCAUUGGACUCUCUGUGAUGUUCCUCAGCUUCCUGAUUCCUGCAGGCUGGGUCUUAUCCCACCUGGACAGCUACAAGAAAGGCCCCGCGGCGUGAAGGCUCCGCAGCUCGGGCUCCAGGCGCAUGACGGAGAAUUGCAUUAAACCCCUCCUCCACCUAGUG